ACAUGUUGCCGACUAUGUGUAUG
Molecule: non-coding RNA, 23 nt
Filed under: Arabidopsis thaliana (thale cress)
Lineage: Eukaryota; Viridiplantae; Streptophyta; Magnoliopsida; Brassicales; Brassicaceae
Source: RNAcentral